AACGAACGCUGGCGGCAUGCCUAACACAUGCAAGUCGAACGAGACCUUCGGGUCUAGUGGCGCACGGGUGCGUAACGCGUGGGAAUCUACCCUUGGGUUCGGAAUAACAGUUAGAAAUGACUGCUAAUACCGGAUGAUGACGUAAGUCCAAAGAUUUAUCGCCCAAGGAUGAGCCCGCGUAAGAUUAGCUUGUUGGUGGGGUAAUGGCCUACCAAGGCGACGAUCCAUAGCUGGUUUGAGAGGAUGAUCAGCCACACUGGGACUGAGACACGGCCCAGACUCCUACGGGAGGCAGCAGUGGGGAAUCUUAGACAAUGGGGGAAACCCUGAUCUAGCCAUGCCGCGUGAUCGAUGAAGGCCUUAGGGUUGUAAAGAUCUUUCACCGGUGAAGAUAAUGACGGUAACCGGAGAAGAAGCCCCGGCUAACUUCGUGCCAGCAGCCGCAGUAA
This 449-nucleotide ribosomal RNA is filed under the name uncultured bacterium. RNAcentral's name for it is "partial 16S ribosomal RNA". It matches the Rfam family "Bacterial small subunit ribosomal RNA", at positions 29 to 523 of the family's 1533-position model. The record is from RNAcentral.